Molecule: ribosomal RNA, 253 nt
Filed under: uncultured bacterium
Lineage: Bacteria
Description: partial 16S ribosomal RNA
Rfam family: Bacterial small subunit ribosomal RNA
Source: RNAcentral
GACAGAGGGGGCGAGCGUUGACCGGAGUAACUGGGCGUAAAGCGCGCGCAGGCGGCAACCUUAGAGUCGUGUGAAAGCCCCCGGCUCAACCGGGGGAGGCCAUGGCAAACUGGGUCGCUCGAGCUGCGGAGAGGCCCCUCGAAUUGCCGGUGUAGCGGUGAAAUGCGUAGAGAUCGGCAGGAAGACCAAGGGGGAAGCCAGGGGGCUGGCCGCAGGCUGACGAUGAGGCGCGACAGCGUGGGGAGCAAACCGG